CAUAAUUAUUAGUUUUUUAAUUGAAAGCUUGUAUGAAGGGUUGGACGAGAUAAAAUCUGUCUUUAUUUAAAUUACAAUAGAAUUUAACUUUUAAGUCAAAAGGCUUAAAUGUAUAUAAAAGACGAGAAGACCCUAUAGAUCUUUAUUUAAUUAAUAUUUUGAUAAUUUAAGAUUAUUUUAGUUUAAAGUUUUAAUUAAAUUUUAUUGGGGUAAUAUAGAGAUUAAAUAAAUUCUUUUUAUUUAUUACAUUGCUUUAUGAAUAUAUGAUCCAAUAUUAUUGAUUAUAAGAUUAAGUUACCUUAGGGAUAACAGCGUAAUUUUUUUGGAGAGCUCAUAUCGAUAAAAAAGUUUGCGACCUCGAUGUUGGAUUAAAAAUUAGCUUGGGUGCAGAAGCUCAAGAUUUUGGUCUGUUCGACCAUUAAAUUUUUACAUGAUCUGAGUUCAGACCGGCGUAAGCCAGGUCGGUUUCUAUCUUUAUUUAUCUAAAAUAUUUUAGUACGAAAGGACCAAAUAUUUAAUAUAAUUAUAUUUCUUUUUUGAAUAAUAUU
This 548-nucleotide ribosomal RNA is filed under the name Cicindela lusitanica. RNAcentral's name for it is "partial 16S ribosomal RNA". The stretch from base 117 to 476 matches the Rfam family "Bacterial large subunit ribosomal RNA", at positions 2075 to 2645 of the family's 2925-position model. Lineage: Eukaryota; Metazoa; Arthropoda; Insecta; Coleoptera; Carabidae. The record is from RNAcentral.